RNAcentral lists this non-coding RNA (21 nucleotides) under Caenorhabditis elegans. Lineage: Eukaryota; Metazoa; Nematoda; Chromadorea; Rhabditida; Rhabditidae. The record is from RNAcentral.
UGAGUCGUGUACAAGAUUUAU